This 69-nucleotide transfer RNA is filed under the name Psolodesmus mandarinus. RNAcentral's name for it is "tRNA-Tyr". It matches the Rfam family "tRNA". Rfam says of the family: Transfer RNA (tRNA) molecules are approximately 80 nucleotides in length. Their secondary structure includes four short double-helical elements and three loops (D, anti-codon, and T loops). Lineage: Eukaryota; Metazoa; Arthropoda; Insecta; Odonata; Calopterygidae. The record is from RNAcentral.
GAUGAGAUGGUUGAGAAAUUAGACAAUAGACUGUAAAUCUUUUUACGGGGAAAUAAUCCUCUCUCGUCA